AACAUGGUUAUUUAAAAAAAAUCUACGAGCCAACAGAACCCAAUGUUUUGGGUUAAGUGACCAUAUCCCAACCAAUAGCAUGACAUUUUUCACAUGUCCUAAAUCAAAUUCUUUUGAACUCUUUUAGUCCUAUUAAGAAAAAAAUUUAAGAAUACAAGCAAACACCAUUGAAUACAUAGAUAUAGCUUAUGUCAACUUUUAGCUAAAGUCAGCUCCCUAUAAAAGAUAGUUGAUUACAUUUUCUGAAUCCCCUAAAUAAAUAAAAAAUUGUAUUAAUUUAAAAAAAAAAUCUCUUCCUUCCAUUAUCUAGUUGCUUUAUUUCAAAGCUCUUCCCUUUCCUCCAAACUUGCAAAUAAGACUUUAAAUAUUUUAUGACUUUAAAAUAUUAAAAUAAUAUGAACCAAA
This 405-nucleotide long non-coding RNA is filed under the name Lathyrus oleraceus (garden pea). Its description in RNAcentral is "Pisum sativum (pea) long non-coding RNA (PSAT_LNC022259)". Lineage: Eukaryota; Viridiplantae; Streptophyta; Magnoliopsida; Fabales; Fabaceae. The record is from RNAcentral.